CACAUGACAUGUUCAAAAUCAUCAUUCCCUCAGAUUUUGGUUAUCUUCACACUUGAGCACAAACUUAAUCACAGUCACUACUUACUAGUUCACAAUUAACCAAUUAAAACAAUGUUUUGAAUGUAGUAACAUGCCUUAGAGAAUUUGCUCAAUUCCUUACAAGAUACUCUCUAUUUUCACACACAUUUUCUGACUACACACCCUACACUAGAGAUUGGGACUCACAUAUGUUAUAACAAAUGAAGCAAUUUUCUGGAGUUAUUAAGCUAUUUAGAUAUGAUCUCAUGAAUGGUAUGCUACUACUUAGAUGCGAGAACCAGUGACACCAUAUGCUCAUAUCAAUUUUGAACUCCACAAAUUGAAACGCACAACACUCAAGAUUGAAGUCAAGGGUUGUAACAGGGCUUAGGGGUAAUGGCUAACAAAGAAAGGAUAGGAAUAACAAACGUUCUUAAAGCGAUAGCAAGCAAAGCAAUGAAAUAGACACUUGGAAUUCACUUUAGAAUGCAGAAUCUACUUUUACAUACAAAGGGAAGAUUCAUGCAACACUUAGGGCCGAAUUCAAUGUUUUGGACCCUUUUUUAACAAACAACACUUUAGAGCUCUUUUUCAUACUUUUUUUUUCUUUUCUCUACUUGUGCCUUAUUAAGGACUUUGAUACAAACACACACAAGAAUUACUUCCCCCACACUUGCUUUCUGCAAUACAUUGAUAAAAAAGGAGUUCAUUUUAGGUCAUGCUUUAUUAUGCUUCAAGAACAAGGGUAUGGAUAUCCUAAAACUAGGAUAGGUAAGGAUAGUGUGGGUUAACAAAGAACAUAGGCUUAACAAGGCUCAACGGGGUUAAACUUAAAAACAUAAUGAAAUAGGGGCACGUCAAUUUGGCUUUGGUGGUCACUACACAUCUUCAUCUUGAAUAUGUGUUAUGCAAAUCAAUAGCAUGCUUUGAAUGAAAUAGGCAUGAGUUCUAGCAUUUGGAACUAAAUGAUGAAACGCCUUCUAAGUAACAACCAAGCAAAGAAUAAUGAGAUCAUGCAACGACUUUAGAAAACAAUGAUGCACAGAUUAUUAACUCUCCAAAUAAACGUUUAGACUCAAGUCUCACAAGGUUGUAGCGUUCAUUUGAGUUCCUUACUUCAAGCAUGUUACAAAAACUGAUUUUUCCUUUAUGAUUGCAUGGGAAUUCAUAAAUUAUAACCACAACCAAGCAUACACCAAAAAGUAAAUCAAUUUUCAUCCAUGUUUAUAACUCUCUUUAACAGUCAUGUAAUUUAAAACCAAAUCCUCAUCAUUGUGUUGGAAGGUACCCUAAGACACAAAUAAACACACAAAAACAACUCUUUUUUGGGUUUUUCAAAACAAUUUUGUUUUCAAAUUUUUAUGAGAUUUUUGGAUUUUUAUGUCAAAACACACUAAAACACUCCAAAAAAGCUUAAAAAAAACACUUAAAAAUAGCAAGGAACAACACUAGAAGUAAUGAGUGAUAAACUCCUAUGAAUUUCAUGCAAAACAACAUGGUUACCCCCCCAUACUUAAAUCAAACAUUAUCCCCAAUGUUUCAAGCAUAAACUCACACAAAAACAAGCAAACAAACAAACAACAAAUAAAAAUGACAAGUAUGGUAAAGUAAAAACCAGACAGAGUAGAGUUUAAGAACGCAAAUUUGGUUUUGGAGAUAAAUGAUCUUGGCGACUUUCCACAGCUUUGAUCUCGAACUGGUUUGGAAUUCUGAGCGAGGAAUAUCAGAGUUCCUUGGUUUCAAAUCAGACUCUUUCUGCUGGGUUGAUUUGAUUGUGCAGUCUGCAUUCUU
This 1809-nucleotide long non-coding RNA is filed under the name Malus domestica (apple). RNAcentral describes it as "long non-coding RNA (MDOM_LNC012804)". Lineage: Eukaryota; Viridiplantae; Streptophyta; Magnoliopsida; Rosales; Rosaceae. The record is from RNAcentral.